UGUUACGCUCCGCUCUUUUCAAUGCACAUGUAAGCAAAUGUCCCAAUAAAGACAACCGUCAUUGAUUUAGUGUUGCGCUACUGUUUUUAGGAAUAUAUAUUAGUGUGAAUUGCGGGUCUCUCAGGUGCAGACAGCGUGAGUUUUCAGACAGGAAUUCAGCAGUCUUUUGUCUUUUAUCAGGCUGAUAUAGUUGUGUAUGGCAGUCCAGACGGCAGCAUCAAGCUUGGCUUUGUAUUUGUAUCCAUUCCAUGCAGUCACUAAAAGAGAGACAACCAGCAGAAUUGUGUCCAGAGAUUUGUCUUCCACCUACACAUCACCAGAACACAACGCAGAAAGCUGUGUCUAUGGCGCGCAGAUCACCAUCUGCAUUGUUUGUGAUACCGGGAGCACGGGUACAGGUCCGUUGCAUUUCUAACUGCCAUGGGGAGAAAACGGUCGGCUGAAAACACUCCAGACAAGGGCGAAUGACCGCACACCGAGAGGCGAGCGAGCAGAGGCUGUUAAUUCAACAACCAAAUGCAAUUGAUUUUUACAUACAAGAACACCAGAAGCUAUCGUCAGAGCUUUGGACUCUAAACGUUUAUAUUUCUUAGUUUUUCUUGUCUAAAACUUCCCCGAUAUUGGGUGUUUGGACUGGAGAGAACGGAAGGUGAGUACAUCAUAAGAGAUGGAGGGAGAGGGGGACUCAUUUAAGGUCAACUUGAGUGUAUCAAUGUGGUAUCAUGUGGUAUAUGCAGUGUUGUAUCAUGUGGUAUAUGCAGUACUUAGAUGUAGAAAUGCAACCAGUGUUUCUGGCUCUCUCUCUUCUGCACUUCCUUUUCUCUGCUUGCUCUCUCCCUUUUUCUAUAUUUUUUUCUCUCUCUCUCUCGGUCUCUAUCUCUCGGUCUCUCUCUCUCUCUGGCCCCUAGAUCUCUCUCUGUUUCACUCUCUAGGUCUCUGUCUCUCCCUCUCUGUUUCUCCCUCUCUGUUUCUCUAUAGGUCUCUCUUUCUAGGUCUCUCUUUCUAGGUCUCUCUUUCUAGGUCUCUCUCUCUGCCAUCAAGAGUGGAUUUGAUGGAGAUGAAGGGGGACGGAGGAGGGAGACAUCUUUUAAUAUUUAAAUCAAUAUCCUAGAAACAGUUGGUUGACCGUUACUAUGAUA
Long non-coding RNA from Oncorhynchus keta (chum salmon), 1139 nucleotides. RefSeq lists it as uncharacterized. NCBI's taxonomy places the organism in Eukaryota, Metazoa, Chordata, Actinopteri, Salmoniformes, Salmonidae. The transcript has 3 exons. The record is from RefSeq and is a predicted model, not a curated record.